RNAcentral lists this ribosomal RNA (257 nucleotides) under Pseudocyphellaria intricata. RNAcentral's name for it is "partial 26S ribosomal RNA". It matches the Rfam family "Eukaryotic large subunit ribosomal RNA", at positions 1 to 254 of the family's 3401-position model. Lineage: Eukaryota; Fungi; Ascomycota; Lecanoromycetes; Peltigerales; Lobariaceae. The record is from RNAcentral.
UUGACCUCGGAUCAGGUAGGGAUACCCGCUGAACUUAAGCAUAUCAAUAAGCGGAGGAAAAGAAACCAACAGGGAUUGCCUCAGUAACGGCGAGUGAAGCGGCAACAGCUCAAAUUUGAAAUCUGACCCCUUCGGGGCCCGAGUUGUAAUUUGUAGAGGGUGUUUCGGGCGCGGCGCCGGUCUAAGUUCCUUGGAACAGGACGUCAUAGAGGGUGAGAAUCCCGUAUGCGACCGGCGAUCAAGCCCAUGUGAAGCCC